This 697-nucleotide long non-coding RNA is filed under the name Numida meleagris (helmeted guineafowl). Its description in RNAcentral is "lncRNA (ENSNMEG00000013487.1)". Lineage: Eukaryota; Metazoa; Chordata; Aves; Galliformes; Numididae. The record is from RNAcentral.
GCAGUGCUUAACACCAAGCUGGGAUGUGAUCCUCAUUUCUAAUGUGCCCCUCACUAAGUCCUUUACAUGACGGACUGUGUGCAUAUAUAUAUGUAUAUAUAUGCUCCUUGCCUGGGGUUGCAGUGUUGGCCGUAGCUUCAUCAUGGGGUCUGAGGUAGAUGAAAAGACAGGAGAGAGCUUCCCCUAUCCACUAUCAAGUAACUAUUCAGUGCUUUCCAAACUCACCUGUUUUUUCAUGAAUGGGGCACAGCUGUGAGCAGCACAGGCUGCUGGGACAGUGAGUGGUGAAGAGCCUUGCUGGCCAGCUGAUUCUUGCAAGAGGUUCCUUUUAUUUGUGGUCAUUGGGAGUAAAACUGGAGUGAAUCUGGAUUGGAUGUCUGCGUUUCCUCCAGAAGCCCCACCAAGGAGGGAAGAGCUCAAGGGUCCUGCACCUCUCAGCUGGUGUCACUGCAUGCUGCAGGGAGUGGAUGUAGCUGUGGAAGGCAUGGGGACAACCACGACGAUGUGCGUCGGGCAGGGACCUGAGAAGUGUCUUACUGUGGCUUGAUUAAGUUAAUACAGAUUUGAAAUAGCAAGGGGAAACUGCAUUAAAAAUGUGGCUGGACUAUUUUAACCUUCUUCUUUUGGGACUUUUUUUUUUUUCAAUUUUUCCUGUUGUAUUUUCUCCCAGUUACCCAGGCACAAGUUCAGAUGUGAU